Long non-coding RNA from Lagenorhynchus albirostris (white-beaked dolphin), 1403 nucleotides. RefSeq lists it as uncharacterized. The transcript has 3 exons. NCBI's taxonomy places the organism in Eukaryota, Metazoa, Chordata, Mammalia, Artiodactyla, Delphinidae. The record is from RefSeq and is a predicted model, not a curated record.
GUUUGAUCCAGGAAGGGAGGCUAGAACGCGCGGCCAGAGCGGAAGAGCAGUUCUGAAAGGCCAGUGGGAACAGGUUCAAAUUAACCCAAUGACGUAAAAGGACUGAUAGAUCAAGUGAACAUAACCCUCUGGGUUAGGAAUGAGAAAGACGGGGGUUGAGUGGCAGGGGAGGAAGGGUGUGAAAAGUAUAAAGAACAAAGACCCAGUGAGGGACACAGUAAGCUGAAGGUCAGUUUAGGGGGGCACAUUGCCAGGAGGAACACAAGUCGGCAUCCAAAGCCAUCUCGCCGUGGGCCGGGGCAGGUUCCUGUACAAUAAAGGGUAAAGGUCUGCAGCCACAUGGGGCAGCACAUUCAGGACUUCGUCUCCCACUGCUCAGGUUCUUAGGCAUGGACAGAACAACGUGUGAAUGAAGGCUUUUACUCUGCAGGAUUGUGAGCGCCUGGAAGUCAGGGACUGUGUCUCACUCCUGUUAACAGAAUCUAGCACAGAGCUUUGCACAUAUAUUAUUUUUUCCAUAGGAAACCAGGUGAAAAAUUCAGUUCAUGUUAUUGGCUUUUAAUAAGACUGAAUGCUUCUGCAGGCUUCCUUGGCAGUUUGCUCUGGCAAGAGCCGACACGCUUCCAUUGCGUUGAUAGAGGUUCUGAAGGCUCCGGGAAGAAGCACAGCCGGCGUGUGUGUGGAAGUCGGGAGAGGGCAGCGGGGUGCACCUGGUCCUCACAAAGCCUGUGACUGUGACAGCACCCAGCAUUUCUCGGGGGGGGGGCCGAGUGGGGGACCCAGUGAUAGAGACGGGGACAUGUUCUCACCAUGCAGCUGUGCACCUGGAUGUGGGGUGCAGGAAGGUUAGCUGAGGCUGCCCAGCUGAGCUGCAUGCUUAACAUUAUUAAAUUCUCUAAUGAGUAUAUUCGAUUUACCAAUAGGUGCACAGAAAGGAGGUACCCAGUGGGUUUCUAGCCUAAGUUUCCCCUCCUCUGGCCCUCUUGUACAGCCAAAAGAACUCCCCUGCCCCCCUCCAUCGUCGUCCUGCCUGUAAGAGAAAUGGGUUUGUCCAAGCAAGGAUGAGAUUCACAGGCGAGGUUAAGGGAAGAGGAUGAGUAUUUUAAUAUAUCUUUUCCCUUUACUGACGGAAUGAGGUUAUCAAAGGACAAAAGCAGGGAUUUCCCUGGUGGCGCAGUGGUUGAGAAUCCGCCUGCCAAUGCAGAGGACACGUGUCCAAGCCCUGGUCCGGGAAGAUCCCACACGCCGUGGAGCAACUAAGCCCAUGUACCACAACUACUGAGAUUGUGCUCUAGAGCCCGCAAGCCACAACUACUGAGGCCUCAUGCCUAGAGCCCAUGCUCCACAACAAGGGAAGCCACCGCAAUGAGAAGCUCGCGCGCAGCAACGAAGACCCAACCAAC